RNAcentral lists this ribosomal RNA (469 nucleotides) under Penicillium citrinum. RNAcentral describes it as "eukaryotic LSU rRNA". The stretch from base 86 to 239 matches the Rfam family "5.8S ribosomal RNA". The record is from RNAcentral. Lineage: Eukaryota; Fungi; Ascomycota; Eurotiomycetes; Eurotiales; Aspergillaceae.
UGCCUCGGCGGGCCCCGCGCCCGCCGACGGCCCCCCUGAACGCUGUCUGAAGUUGCAGUCUGAGACCUAUAACGAAAUUAGUUAAAACUUUCAACAACGGAUCUCUUGGUUCCGGCAUCGAUGAAGAACGCAGCGAAAUGCGAUAACUAAUGUGAAUUGCAGAAUUCAGUGAAUCAUCGAGUCUUUGAACGCACAUUGCGCCCUCUGGUAUUCCGGAGGGCAUGCCUGUCCGAGCGUCAUUGCUGCCCUCAAGCCCGGCUUGUGUGUUGGGCCCCGUCCCCCCCGCCGGGGGGACGGGCCCGAAAGGCAGCGGCGGCACCGCGUCCGGUCCUCGAGCGUAUGGGGCUUCGUCACCCGCUCUAGUAGGCCCGGCCGGCGCCAGCCGACCCCCAACCUUUAAUUAUCUCAGGUUGACCUCGGAUCAGGUAGGGAUACCCGCUGAACUUAAGCAUAUCAAUAAACGGAGGAA